This 1329-nucleotide long non-coding RNA is filed under the name Homo sapiens (human). Its description in RNAcentral is "HSALNT0155893". Lineage: Eukaryota; Metazoa; Chordata; Mammalia; Primates; Hominidae. The record is from RNAcentral.
GUAUAGAGAGAACAGGCCCUGUGAGAGAGCCUCACACUUGCUGCCUCCUCUGCCUGGAACUCUCUCCCUCUGCUCUCACAGGGUUCCCUAAGUGUCGCUUCCUCCAAGAAGCCCUCCCUGAUGAGUUGAGCCACUUUAGUUUGUGCUCAGGCUCACCCUGCACGUCUUGGUUGCUCUCAUCACUGUAAUGAUCUAAAACACACGUCUGCUCAUGAGACCCGCAUCCCACCCCCGAUGCUGGGGCCGCUCUUGGAUUUUCAUGCCUGCUGCCAGCACCCAGGGGGAGCUCCGGAAAUGUCUGCUGGGGGCUCGGAAUACCCACCUUUCUGGUAAUGCAGCCCAGCGGGUCCCAGCCUCGUUUUCCAGCCCUCACUCAAAAUGGAGUCGCUCUGGUUCGAACGCCUCUGACAAGUGUGUACCUACGUGUCAGGCCCAUCCUUCCUGCAGGCCUUUGUCUUGGUGUCACCCUGCCUGAGCUGGCCCCAACCACAGUAGCAACAGUGAUGCUGAUGUGUGACUGCUGCCAGGAGCCUGCUCACAUGACCGUGUGGAGAAAGUUCUUUCCCUGAGGACCAUCUGGAGUGGACGCGUGCACUACCCCUCUCUGAAUACACCCUCCCCACGAGGCCCUCUGGAGCAUCCUGUAGAGCCAGCCCCUACCCAGAGACCCUGAGCCCAGAGAAUGCGCUGGGUGGUGAGCCUGGGGACGAAUGCAGAGCCCUAGGUCUCCUCUCCAGAAAGACCGGAUUUUGCCAUGUUGGCCAGGCUGGUCUUGAACUCCUGACCUCAAGUGAUCCACCUGCCUCGGCCUCCCAAAGUGCAGGGAUUACAGGUGUGAGCCACUGCACCCGGCCUCAGGCAGGUAUUUUUACCAGCCGAAUACUCUUGCACUGUGCACUCUUCGUGUUCAUCAUCAGUCCCCCGGAUGGGUGUUUAAGGCAUUUCCAAAGCUCUGUUAUUAAAAACACGAUGCAAUGAGUUUCUUUCAGCAUUUCCCCUUGUUGCCGUGUGAAUGCGUCCGUGGUAUAACUUCCUAAAAGUGGAAUCGCUUGGUCAAAGGGUGGGUGCAUUUAGCAACCUGAUGGCUUUCCAGGAGACAAGUGCUGCCUCCCGGCCACGAGCUUUUAAGAAGAACUGUUGAUGGAACCCGAGCUGGAGUCCCAGGGACCGGGGCGAGUUCUCCAUCCCAGGGGAUUUUCAGAUGGGACACUGGGGAGAAGCUGCCCUGCCCAUCUGAACUCUAUGAUCCCAGUACUAACACUGGUAGCUGUGCCAUCCCCAGUAUAGAGACAGCACCGUGCUCUUGGGAGGGUGAGUCAUUGGCCCCCG